Molecule: ribosomal RNA, 552 nt
Filed under: uncultured archaeon
Lineage: Archaea
Description: bacterial SSU rRNA
Rfam family: Archaeal small subunit ribosomal RNA
Source: RNAcentral
ACGGGGCGCAGCAGGCGCGAAACCUUUGCAAUACACGAAAGUGUGACAGGGUCAUCCCGAGUGCCGACCGCUGAGGUUGGCUUUUACCCAGUCUAGAAAGCUGGUGGAAUAAGGAGAGGGCAAGUCUGGUGUCAGCCGCCGCGGUAAUACCAGCUCUCCGAGUGGUGUGGACGUUUAUUGGGCCUAAAGCAUCCGUAGCUGGCUGAACAAGUCCCCUGUUAAACCCACCGAUUUAAUCGUUGGUCUGCGGGGGAUACUGCUCGGCUAGGGGACGAGAGAGGCAGACGGUAUUUCCGGGGUAGGGGUGAAAUCCUAUAAUCCCGGGAAGACCACCAGUGGCGAAGGCUGUCUGCUAGAACGCGCCCGACGGUGAGGGAUGAAAGCUGGGGGAGCGAACCGGAUUAGAUACCCGGGUAGUCCCAGCUGUAAACGAUGCAGGCUAGGUGUUUGGACGGCCACGUGCCGUUCUAGUGCCGCAGGGAAGCUGUUAAGCCUGCCGCCUGGGGAGUACGAUCGCAAGAUUGAAACUUAAAGGAAUUGGCGGGGGAGCAC